UUCUAACUUCGCAUGAGGGAUAGGAAUGGCAUCCUUUGCUGGCGGUUCUUUGAGCCAGCAAAGAUAUAAUGGAUAGCCCGACCCCGU
Non-coding RNA from Flavobacterium sp. LM5, 87 nucleotides. NCBI's taxonomy places the organism in Bacteria, Pseudomonadati, Bacteroidota, Flavobacteriia, Flavobacteriales, Flavobacteriaceae. The record is from Rfam.